UCUAUGUUUCCUGUCCAAAUAUUCAAUGGAAAUUUACCCAUUUUCAUUGUUUUUUUUUCAUAGAAAAUCAAAAUGAGUACUAUUUGUGACGUCAUGAAUAGAACGCAGGAAUGUAAAUUUGCCAAAAAAGACUUAUUUCCUAUCUUGUCACUGUAUAAGCUUUUAUUCAUUGUGAUAGUGGUCAAUAAAUCCCAAUUUAAAAUUUAGGCUAAAAAAGGGGGCCAUUUUAG
RNAcentral lists this long non-coding RNA (230 nucleotides) under Mytilus galloprovincialis (Mediterranean mussel). Lineage: Eukaryota; Metazoa; Mollusca; Bivalvia; Mytilida; Mytilidae. The record is from RNAcentral.